GAGCACGUAGGUGGGUUUGUAAGUCAGAUGUGAAAGCCUCCUGUUCAACGGGAGAAUUGCAUCUGAAACUACUGAUCUUGAGUGCAGGAGGGGAGAAUGGAACUUCUGGUGGAGCGGUGAAAUGCGUAGAUAUCAGAAGGAACGCCGGCGGCGAAAGCGAUUCUCUGGCCUAUUACUGACACUCAGUGUGCGAAAGCUAGGGGAGCAAACGGGAUUAGACACCCCGGUAGUCCUAGCCGUAAACGAUGGGCACUAAGUAGAGGGGUCUA
This 269-nucleotide ribosomal RNA is filed under the name uncultured Planctomycetota bacterium. RNAcentral's name for it is "uncultured planctomycete partial 16S ribosomal RNA". It matches the Rfam family "Bacterial small subunit ribosomal RNA", at positions 565 to 832 of the family's 1533-position model. Lineage: Bacteria; Pseudomonadati; Planctomycetota. The record is from RNAcentral.